GAAAUGAGGAGGAGAAAGAAGCCUUUGGAACUCUGGGAGAGCAGAGGAGGAACAGCCCAGCUGAAGGCACGGUAGGCACUGUAGAAGUCCAGCCUGCUAUUUGCUCAUUGCAACACAGCAAACGUGUGGCCUAGCUGUGAUGAAACUGGCCGUAGGAGCAAGAGAUCUGGCUGGAGAGGGCAAAACAACAUGCCUGUUCCCAAAAAUGGGAGGUUUUUUUGUGAACUUAAACAUGAGAAGGUUAUAACUUUCCAUUCAGAAGCCAAUGAAGAUGUUUACCAUGAUGGUUUAAGCCCUCCCCAAAGAAGAAAGAUAGUGCAUGGCUGUUCUCUUGGACGAUGGAUGCAAGUACAUGGCUUAGAGUAUCUAUUUCUAGAUUGGCAGAAGGAAGGAAUGCCAUCCAAGGGGACCUCGAUAAACUUGAAAGAUACUACAAAAAGCCACUCCAAAAAAGAAACUCUCUCAUUGAGACACCAGUGGUGGUGAGUUUAUGGCUGUAAGUGCAGCUGACAUCAGAAAAGAAGUCUCCAGGAAAAACAGAGUUGUCUCAAGUACUGUGCCUUUAAACGUGCUCCUCUCUUCCAGAUGAUUUUAAUAAGCCCAGGCACAUGUGUUGUAACCCCUUGGUGCAGUACAAUAUGAAUAACCAAAUAAAAGAUCUCUCCAGAUUUUAAGAUUUACUGUUUGCGAUGGGAAAAGGCCAACCAGAUGACAUCAUUAUACUUCAAAUGUGAAUUACUGCCAAGUUUGGUAAUACUAAACUGGAGAAAUUGAUCCUCUCUGUUUUUGCAGAAAAACGGUUUUUGGCUUCAGUGGUGAUUUUCUUCUUUUGUUAUUUAUGUAACUGUAACGCUUGUGUUUAGCAAACUUUAAUUUUACUUAAAACUGGAGCCAGAGUACCCUUAUCUUACAGGUUAUUUGUUUUCAGCCAUCUGCUUUGCUGGAAAUAAUUGAGUUUGACAAUUUAUGGGUUAAAGAGUCAAUGGAUUGUGUUGGAUAAUUCACCAAGAGCCAAAUUCUAGCUCAGGCAAAGCUCUAGCUGGCUUCAGUGGGAGUCUGCCUGAUGAGGCUGUCAGGAUCCUCGUCCCUGUCUGGAAGAUGUUCCGUUGUUUGCCUCUGAGGAAGAAAAAUCCAUACGUAUGUAACAAUAACACCCUUUUCAUGUAGCACAUCUGGAUUUCUGGAAGUAUAAAAAGCUGUGAUACUCCAGCCAGUAUAAUCACAGAGUCACAGAAUCACAGAACUGUAGGGGUUGGAAGGGACCUCUGGGGAUCACUGAGUCCAACUGCUUGCUAGAGAAGGUUCCUGACAGUAGUGCAGAGAAGAGGAGGAGGAUCACCUCUUUCAGCCUGCUAGCCACGCUCUUUGUAAUGCACUCUAGGAUACUGCUGGCCUUCUUGGCCAUGAGGGCACACUGGUGGCUCAUGAUCAGCCUGUUAGCAACCAGAAGACCCAUCUCCUUCUCUGCAGAUCUCCUUUCCAGCAGGUCAGCCCUUAACCUGUACUGAUGCGGGCAGUUAUUCCUCUCCAGGUACAGGACUCUACACUCGUACUUGUUGAACCUCAUCAGGUUCUACUCCACCCAACUCUUCAGGCCUCACUGAAUGGCAGCACAGCUCCUGGUGAGCCAGCCACUCCUCCCAACUUCACAUCAGCAAACUUGUUGAGGUUGCACUCUAUCCCGUCCUCCAGGUCACUGAUGAUGUUGGACAAGACCAGACCCAGUACUGACCCCUGAGGAACACCACUAGCUACAGACCUACAGUAUUCUUAAAAUAUGUAUUACAUCUAUGUGCCAUGCUUCUUCAAGGAAUUCUCAGCUCCCAUGGUACUUUCAAGCACCCCUUUGAAUGAGGUCCAUGGAACAUUGCUCGUUUCACUGCACAGCUGAACAGAUAGAGUCCCAAAGAGGUUAAGCCACUUGCCCAAGACUGCAAAGUGAUUCACAGGCAGAGAUGAAACCAAAAACCACAAAGCUCUUUUUCCCACACCCCUGCACACCACUUCUUUCAAACUGUUGGUGAUGUGAAUAACAACAGUUGCAAAGCUUUGCGUUGCAGACAACUCUGGUGAUUCUUUUUUUUUAAUCAAGAGCUUAUUAAAAUCUCGUUUUCCACUGCAGAAAAGGAUUCUGAAAUUUCAUGUUACAGCAACAUUUUCAGAUAAAUCCACAUCCUUAAUGCCAGGAAAAUGUUCUAUUUUUACAGCAUACAUAAGCAUAUUUUUUAAAGCAGCCAUAUAUACACCGAAUUACGUUGGGUCUGUUUCCUUCAGAGAGGAAGCCCCAAGUCAUACUACUGCUAUUAUUCUUAAAAACGUGCAGCAUGACACCCAUGGAACCGUUGGUUCACCAAUUACAACAGAAUAAGUCUUACUGAAGGCACAGUGCUGUGAAGGCAAGAGCAUGGCUUGCCUAAUUGAGUUUUAGGUGCCAAUUCCCUAUCCCUGUGCCAGGGACAGAGCAUCCCAUGGCCAACAGGACCUGCUGCUCUCUGAGCCUGUGUGCCAUGAGUGCACCACAGCACU
Molecule: long non-coding RNA, 2526 nt
Organism: Gallus gallus (chicken)
Lineage: Eukaryota; Metazoa; Chordata; Aves; Galliformes; Phasianidae
Source: Ensembl